This 902-nucleotide ribosomal RNA is filed under the name Listeria monocytogenes. RNAcentral's name for it is "partial 23S ribosomal RNA". It matches the Rfam family "Bacterial large subunit ribosomal RNA", at positions 1985 to 2885 of the family's 2925-position model. Lineage: Bacteria; Bacillati; Bacillota; Bacilli; Caryophanales; Listeriaceae. The record is from RNAcentral.
GACCCGCACGAAAGGCGCAACGAUCUGGGCACUGUCUCAACGAGAGACUCGGUGAAAUUAUAGUACCUGUGAAGAUGCAGGUUACCCGCGACAGGACGGAAAGACCCCGUGGAGCUUUACUGCAACCUGAUAUGGAAUGUUUGUACCGCUUGUACAGGAUAGGUAGGAGCCGAAGAGACGUGUGCGCUAGCAUACGAGGAGGCAAUGGUGGGAUACUACCCUGGCUGUAUGACCAUUCUAACCCGCCACGCUUAGCGCGUGGGGAGACAGUGUCAGGUGGGCAGUUUGACUGGGGCGGUCGCCUCCUAAAGAGUAACGGAGGCGCCCAAAGGUUCCCUCAGAAUGGAUGGAAAUCAUUCGCAGAGUGUAAAGGCACAAGGGAGCUUGACUGCGAGACUGACAAGUCGAGCAGGGACGAAAGUCGGGCUUAGUGAUCCGGUGGUUCCGCAUGGAAGGGCCAUCGCUCAACGGAUAAAAGCUACCCCGGGGAUAACAGGCUUAUCUCCCCCAAGAGUCCACAUCGACGGGGAGGUUUGGCACCUCGAUGUCGGCUCGUCGCAUCCUGGGGCUGUAGUCGGUCCCAAGGGUUGGGCUGUUCGCCCAUUAAAGCGGCACGCGAGCUGGGUUCAGAACGUCGUGAGACAGUUCGGUCCCUAUCCGUCGCGGGCGCAGGAAAUUUGAGAGGAGCUGUCCUUAGUACGAGAGGACCGGGAUGGACACACCGCUGGUGUACCAGUUGUUCCGCCAGGAGCAUCGCUGGGUAGCUAUGUGUGGCAGGGAUAAACGCUGAAAGCAUCUAAGCGUGAAGCCCCCCUCAAGAUGAGAUUUCCCAUUUCUUCGGAAAGUAAGAUCCCUGAAAGAUGAUCAGGUAGAUAGGUUUGGAGUGGAAGUGUAGCGAUACA